GACGAACGCUGGCGGCGUGCCUAAUACAUGCAAGUAGAACGCUGAAGCGAGGAGCUUGCUCUUCUUGGCUGAGUUGCGAACGGGUGAGUAACGCGUAGGUAACCUGCCUUGUAGCGGGGGAUAACUAUUGGAAACGAUAGCUAAUACCGCAUAACAAUGGAUGACACAUGUCAUUUAUUUGAAAGGGGCAAUUGCUCCACUACAAGAUGGACCUGCGUUGUAUUAGCUAGUAGGUGAGGUAAUGGCUCACCUAGGCGACGAUACAUAGCCGACCUGAGAGGGGGGUACGCCCACCCGGGACUGGGAAACGGCCCAGACUCCUACGGGAGGCAGCAGUAGGGAAUCUUCGGCAAUGGGGGCAACCCUGACCGAGCAACGCCGCGUGAGUGAAGAAGGUUUUCGGAUCGUAAAGCUCGGUUGUAAGUCAAGAACGGGUGUGAGAGUGGAAAGUUCACACUGUGACGGUAGCUUACCAGAAAGGGACGGCUAACUACGUG
This 497-nucleotide ribosomal RNA is filed under the name uncultured bacterium. Its description in RNAcentral is "partial 16S ribosomal RNA". It matches the Rfam family "Bacterial small subunit ribosomal RNA", at positions 28 to 507 of the family's 1533-position model. The record is from RNAcentral.